AGUGAUCCCACUUUAAGUUUAUUUCAUGUGAUUCUUCUUCUCAGCAUGCAGUGAACUUUCUUGGGAAAAACUUUUCUUUGCUGCCCCAGUUUACAUUAUAAAUUAAUUUACAAAUAUAGAGUUGUGCUAGAAACAAUAUUUAUAUAAGUCCAUGAUAUUUUCAUAUACAAAAAUAUCCAUAGAAACCGUUUUUUUGUACACAUACUGUGGGAGUAGGUAGUCUUUGGUUGUCUUUCUGCAUAAUGUUAAAAAAGUAAUGGUGAUGUCAUUUGUACCUCAAUAAGCUGUUUAGAAAAAUAAUUUUCUGUAUGUAUAUUUCAAAAUAAAAAAUUUUUAAAGUAAUGCUGUGAGAGUCUCGGGGUGAAAAAAUACCCAGGGAAUUUUAAAUUUUUUUACAAUGUGCUUCUGUUCCUGUUUCUAAAAAAGUUAAAACCCCAAACUAGCCAUGCUCACAUCCAAAAACGUGGUACAAAGGCAACUCAUAGGACGAUGAAUUCAUUUUUGUGGAACACCGUUCCCAUAAAUUUGACAACUACCUGCAUUUUAAUGAACACUUUUUGAAUAAAAAAUUUGUUUUUUGAGACAGGGUCUCACUUUGUCACCCAGGCUGUCAUACAGUAGCAUGAUCUCAGCUCACUGCAGCCUCAACUCCCCAGGUUCAAGUGAUCCUCCCACCUCAGCCCCCCAAGUAGCUGGCACUACAGGUGCACACCACCACACCUAGCUAAUUUUUGUUAUUUUUUGUAGAGAUGGGGUUUCACCAUGUUGCCCAGGCUGGUCUCAAACUCCUGGGCUCAAGUGCUCUGCCCGCUUAGGCUUCCCAAAGGGUUGGGAUUACAGGUUUGAGCCACUGCGCCGGCCCUGAAUAAAUUCUGUCAUUCGGCAACUAGUGGAUGAGUGUACUGGGCACUCUACUGGGCACUAGAAGGUUGCCCAUAAAAAUUAUUCAAAUGAUACCUCUGAGAAGAGAGUGCUAAAAUAAAUAAGAUUAAAUAUAUCUUUUUAAAAACUGACCACAAACGGUUUAUUGUAUUAAAAACUAUAAAAUCCCAUUUCUUCAUUGUUUUAAAAAUAUUUUGUAGACACAGAGUGUUGCUGUGCUGCUCAGUUGCAAGGUGUCUGCUGAGGCCUCUGAG
Molecule: long non-coding RNA, 1136 nt
Filed under: Homo sapiens (human)
Lineage: Eukaryota; Metazoa; Chordata; Mammalia; Primates; Hominidae
Description: HSALNT0035397
Source: RNAcentral